This 717-nucleotide ribosomal RNA is filed under the name uncultured bacterium. Its description in RNAcentral is "bacterial SSU rRNA". It matches the Rfam family "Bacterial small subunit ribosomal RNA", at positions 771 to 1487 of the family's 1533-position model. The record is from RNAcentral.
AACAGGAUUAGAUACCCUGGUAGUCCACGCCGUAAACGAUGUCGACUUGGAGGUUGUUCCCUUGAGGAGUGGCUUCCGGAGCUAACGCGUUAAGUCGACCGCCUGGGGAGUACGGCCGCAAGGUUAAAACUCAAAUGAAUUGACGGGGGCCCGCACAAGCGGUGGAGCAUGUGGUUUAAUUCGAUGCAACGCGAAGAACCUUACCUACUCUUGACAUCCAGAGAACUUAGCAGAGAUGCUUUGGUGCCUUCGGGAACUCUGAGACAGGUGCUGCAUGGCUGUCGUCAGCUCGUGUUGUGAAAUGUUGGGUUAAGUCCCGCAACGAGCGCAACCCUUAUCCUUUGUUGCCAGCGAUUCGGUCGGGAACUCAAAGGAGACUGCCGGUGAUAAACCGGAGGAAGGUGGGGAUGACGUCAAGUCAUCAUGGCCCUUACGAGUAGGGCUACACACGUGCUACAAUGGCGCAUACAAAGAGAAGCGACCUCGCGAGAGCAAGCGGACCUCAUAAAGUGCGUCGUAGUCCGGAUCGGAGUCUGCAACUCGACUCCGUGAAGUCGGAAUCGCUAGUAAUCGUGGAUCAGAAUGCCACGGUGAAUACGUUCCCGGGGCCUUGUACACACCGCCCGUCACACCAUGGGAGUGGGUUGCAAAAGAAGUAGGUAGCUUAACCUUCGGGAGGGCGCUUACCACUUUGUGAUUCAUGACUGGGGUGAAGUC